Molecule: transfer RNA, 61 nt
Filed under: Ixodes scapularis (black-legged tick)
Lineage: Eukaryota; Metazoa; Arthropoda; Arachnida; Ixodida; Ixodidae
Rfam family: tRNA
About the family: Transfer RNA (tRNA) molecules are approximately 80 nucleotides in length.
Source: Rfam by way of RNAcentral
UUAGUUCAGUUGGUAGAACGUUGCACUUUGUAGUGCAAAGGUCCCUGGUUUGAUACCAGGA